Molecule: long non-coding RNA, 878 nt
Organism: Gasterosteus aculeatus aculeatus (three-spined stickleback)
Lineage: Eukaryota; Metazoa; Chordata; Actinopteri; Perciformes; Gasterosteidae
Source: Ensembl
CAUUCUGCUCGUUGUCUCGCCCGCAGAUUUCCCGCCAUGUCGUAGUAAACUUUUUUCUGUGUGUUCGCCCGCUGUCUUCGUCCGCACUCACAUUUUAUGGUUUCUGACUGACACUAAAAAGCUUUAGAGACCUGUGAAACCAUGAAGCACGGAGACCAGCAGGUGCCUGUGGCCAUGCAGGACAUUGCAGUGUCGUGUCAUUUCACGUACUGUAGCACGAGAAGUGAAAUAGAAUGUCGUGUUUUUUAUGGCCUAGUUUUGUUUUGACUUUGUCAGUGCAGUUGUAUAAUUGCCACCUGUUAGAGGGACAGACGCACGACAGCAGACCCGUUUGACAAGCGACACAAGAGUUAUGGGCAGUGAUUCAGACUUCUGGAAUCGGGCAAACAAUGCAAUGAGCUUCUGGGUCGCGAUGUAUUAUGUUACGGCGUCCGGGACUGAGUCACAGUUUCACCCUUCACGACGGAUCCGCGACCACAGAAGGAGACGUUCAAUCACCUGACGGGAGAACAAGUCGCGGCUGAGGAGGAAGAUCGUCCUUCUAUUUUCCGUAGAUAUUGAAACAAAAUGUGAAGAGAAAAGAAGUGUUAAUGAAACUCGGGGGAUGUGGAUGAGAAUAAAGAAAGGGGCAGAUGGAUGUCCCUGCUGCUGCUUGUUAUCCACCUUGGUGAAGCGUCGCAAUGGAUUCCAAAUGAUUUAGUUUUUCCCCCCGUCUCAAUCGAUAAGCUUGGGAACCAUCGAUGGGAUUGAAAUGGACAACCUCACGCACGGCAGUGCACGAGUGAACUGUUAGAAGAGGGCAAAUGACUGCUGUGAUGGAUGCUUUUCAUUUGUCAAAUUGAUUCGUUCAGGACUUACGAGGGGCUUGAACACGUGAU